This 1327-nucleotide long non-coding RNA is filed under the name Homo sapiens (human). RNAcentral's name for it is "HSALNT0274423". Lineage: Eukaryota; Metazoa; Chordata; Mammalia; Primates; Hominidae. The record is from RNAcentral.
GGGGCAACUCCAUCCAGUGUGGCCUAAGUCUCAAGACAUGGCUUUGAGCAAACUACAGAUGUGCUUCCUUUCAUCUUGAAAUCCAGCCUGGGAGCAAGCUGUGAGCCUACUGCCUUCCCUCUCCCACCUGCAGCUCCCGGGCCCUGUGCACAUUUGUUUAUCUGGAUGCUUGCUGAGUGCACACCAUGCUCACCUGUCUGGUCAUCUAUUUCCUAGAAGCUUUGGGGGCCAGAUCCUGGGACGAACCAGGCAUCUCCAGAAUUCCUUCCCCAGCAGGCGGGUUACUUUGAGGCCAGAGCUUACUCCUGGCUAAAGACUCACUGCAAGAUUGACUGUGAUUGAUUUCUAAUCUGGGGGCGACCCGCGAUGGCGCAGCCCCUUCACCAGAUGUGUUUGUGGUGGAAGUUAUCCAAGUGACACGGCACCAAAACCUGUGAUCGGUGGCAAAUCCGUACAGGUCUGCGGCAGCCGCAAUUCUCACCUCCUCAGAAGAAAGAAUUCGACCAAGGGGCAGAAGGCAGAAGAAGAGACCGAGACAAGUUUUAGAGCAGGAGUGACAUUUAUUAAAAAGCUUUAGAGCAGGAAUGAAAGGAAGGAAAGGACGCUUGGAAGGGGGCCAAGCAGGUGACUUGAAGGACAGGUGUGUGGUUUGACCUUCGACUUGGGGUUUUAUAUGUUGGCACGCUUCCGGGGUCUGGCCUGCCUUCUCCCCUGAUUCUUCCCUUGGGGUGGGCUGUCCACAUGUGCAGUGGCUGCCAGCCCUUGGGAGGAGCACGCGCUAUGUGUUUACUGGAGUUGCGCGCCUGCUUACCUGAGGCGUUGUUCCCUUACCUGUCAAAUGUCCCUAGGAGGCCAUAGACCAGUUACACUCCACAAUUUUGCCUUUUAAUACACAUGCUUGAGCCCACUCACCCAAUGCCUGAGGUCUUAUGGGGAAGGAUUUUUCUGUCUGUUGGGAGGCUGCCUUUCCCUGGCGUUGGCUGUGACCAAUUAUUAUUUUAGAGAGACAGUUAACAGCCACCCGACCAACACUGAUGGUCGCCUGACAUUCCUGGUUGGGAGGGCCCUCUCCUGCCCUGCUCAUGUCUGACCAGCUGCCUACUGUAACAGAUGGAACAAUAACUCAAGAGAAGCCAUCAGAGCAGGUCACCUGGCACCUCCUGGCCCCUGCCUCGCCUGCAUUCCAGACCCCCUCUACACGUCCCUCUACAAAUUGAAGAGUGGCCAUUUUUGGAAAGGAUUCCGGCCAAUCUCCCCCUUGCUAGCAUGAGAAUGAAGCUCACGCUCUUUCUUUUUUCUUUCUUUUCUUUUUUUUUUUGAGACGGAG